UACGUAGGUGGCAAGCGUUGUCCGGAAUUAUUGGGCGUAAAGCGCGCGCAGGCGGCCUCUUAAGUCUGAUGUGAAAGCCCCCGGCUCAACCGGGGGAGGGCCUUGGAAACUGGGAGGCUUGAGUAUAGGAGAGAAGAGUGGAAUUCCACGUGUAGCGGUGAAAUGCGUAGAGAUGUGGAGGAACACCAGUGGCGAAGGCGACUCUUUGGCCUAUAACUGACGCUGAGGCGCGAAAGCGUGGGGAGCGAACAGG
Molecule: ribosomal RNA, 253 nt
Filed under: uncultured bacterium
Lineage: Bacteria
Description: partial 16S ribosomal RNA
Rfam family: Bacterial small subunit ribosomal RNA
Source: RNAcentral